GACGAACGCUGGCGGCGUGCUUAAUACAUGCAAGUCGAACGCACUCGAGUGAAGUUGGUAGGAGUGAUCAGCGGAGUGCGGGAGAGUUAAAUGAGUGGAAGACGCGUUUGUAACACGGAGAUAACCGGGAAUAAGGGGGGAAUUAAGGUUUUGAGACAGAGUCGCAUGCCGGGUAAUAGAUAGCUCCUCAGUGAGAGAUGGGCACGCGGCGUAUCGGCUUGUUGGUGAGGUAGUGGCUCACCAGGGUAAUGACGGGUAGACGGCCUGAGGAGGCGACCGCCCACACUGGUACUGAGACACGGCCCAGACUCCUACGGGAGGCAGCAGUGGGGAAUAUUGCACAAUGGGCGAAAGCCUGAUGCAGCGACGCCGCGUGAGUGAUGACGUCCUUCGGGUUGUAAACCUCUUUCAGCAGGGAAGAAGCGAAAGUGACGGUACCUGCAGAAGAAGCGCCGGCUAACUACGUG
This 467-nucleotide ribosomal RNA is filed under the name uncultured bacterium. RNAcentral's name for it is "partial 16S ribosomal RNA". It matches the Rfam family "Bacterial small subunit ribosomal RNA", at positions 28 to 507 of the family's 1533-position model. The record is from RNAcentral.